UUGGGCCAAGUUUAACCCACCUAAUGACGUAUCCGAUCUUUGAAGACGUGGCAGAUACUUGACACUAUAACGUGGAUAACCAAGCACUUGUGCUUUAUAUGGUAAUGGCAUCAUCAGCAAAUGACCGAAGUUUGUGUCAUCGGCAUAUGACCGGCUACAAGGUGGAGGCAUAGACGAAGUUAGCGUCGUCGGUUUUCAGCAGCUCUCACCUCAUUUCCACCCUAGCUUCCUAUAAGCUAUCUUCCGGAUCGGAUGUUCUCAAGAGCUUUUUGACGCAUGGACUUUGCUGAGUUGGCAUUCAGUUGCAAUGGCCCACUAUUUCUCCAGAUAUGGACAACUGGUUCUAUAACAAUCUGCUGAUACCCACUACUCCGACUCCAGCAGUCACAAUUCUGACUUCGACA
This 404-nucleotide long non-coding RNA is filed under the name Elaeis guineensis (African oil palm). RNAcentral's name for it is "long non-coding RNA (EGUI_LNC061103)". Lineage: Eukaryota; Viridiplantae; Streptophyta; Magnoliopsida; Arecales; Arecaceae. The record is from RNAcentral.